RNAcentral lists this ribosomal RNA (501 nucleotides) under uncultured bacterium. Its description in RNAcentral is "partial 16S ribosomal RNA". It matches the Rfam family "Bacterial small subunit ribosomal RNA", at positions 28 to 523 of the family's 1533-position model. The record is from RNAcentral.
GAUGAACGCUAGCGGCAGGCUUAAUACAUGCAAGUCGAGGGGCAGCACAGAUAGCAAUAUUGGGUGGCGACCGGCAAACGGGUGCGGAACACGUACACAACCUUCCUUUUAGUGUGGGAUAGCCCAGAGAAAUUUGGAUUAAUACCACAUAGUAUAUUGGAGUGGCAUCACUUUGAUAUUAAAGAUUUAUCGAUAAAAGAUGGGUGUGCGUAUGAUUAGGUAGUUGGUAGAGGUAACGGCUCACCAAGCCUUCGAUCAUUACCUUGUGUGAGAGCACGACCAGUCACACGGGAACUGAGACAAGGGCCCGACUCCUACGGGAGGCAGCAGUAAGGAAUAUUGGUCAAUGGACGGAAGUCUGAACCAGCCAUGCCGCGUGAAGGAUGACGGCCCUCUGGGUUGUAAACUUCUUUUAUGUGGGACGAAAAAGGGCCAUUUUUGGUCAACUGACGGUACCAUAGGAAUAAGCACCGGCUAACUCCGUGCCAGCCGCCGCAGUAA